GUGUCAGCCGCCGCGGUAAUACGUAGGCAGCAAGCGUUGUUCGGAGUUACUGGGCGUAAAGGGUGUGUAGGCGGUCCUGUAAGUUUGGUGUGAAAUCUCCCGGCUCAACUGGGAGGGUGCGCCGAAAACUGCAGGGCUAGAGUGCGGGAUGGGAGAGUGGAAUUCCUGGUGUAGCGGUGAAAUGCGUAGAUAUCAGGAGGAACACCGGUGGUGUAGACGGCUCUCUGGACCGUUACUGACGCUGAAACACGAAAGCGUGGGUAGCAAACAGGAUUAGAAACCCCUGUAGUCC
RNAcentral lists this ribosomal RNA (292 nucleotides) under uncultured bacterium. RNAcentral's name for it is "partial 16S ribosomal RNA". It matches the Rfam family "Bacterial small subunit ribosomal RNA", at positions 505 to 796 of the family's 1533-position model. The record is from RNAcentral.